This 75-nucleotide transfer RNA is filed under the name Cardinium endosymbiont of Culicoides punctatus. RNAcentral describes it as "tRNA-Val". It matches the Rfam family "tRNA". Rfam says of the family: Transfer RNA (tRNA) molecules are approximately 80 nucleotides in length. Their secondary structure includes four short double-helical elements and three loops (D, anti-codon, and T loops). Lineage: Bacteria; Pseudomonadati; Bacteroidota; Cytophagia; Cytophagales; Amoebophilaceae. The record is from RNAcentral.
GGGUUCUUAGCUCAGCUGGUUAGAGCAUCUGUCUUACACACAGAAGGUCGCAGGUUCGAAUCCCGCAGGGCCCAC